This 253-nucleotide ribosomal RNA is filed under the name uncultured bacterium. Its description in RNAcentral is "partial 16S ribosomal RNA". It matches the Rfam family "Bacterial small subunit ribosomal RNA", at positions 524 to 776 of the family's 1533-position model. The record is from RNAcentral.
UACGUAGGGGGCAAGCGUUGUCCGGAUUUAUUGGGCGUAAAGAGCGUGUAGGCGGCCAGGUAGGUCUGCUGUGAAAACUCGAGGCUUAACCUCGAGCUGUCGGCGGAAACCACUUGGCUAGAGUCCGGAAGAGGAGAGUGGAAUUCCCGGUGUAGCGGUGAAAUGCGCAGAUAUCGGGAAGAACACCCGUGGCGAAGGCGGCAUCCUGGACCAACACUGACACUGAGGAGCGAAAGCCAGGGGAGCAAACGGG